This 360-nucleotide unclassified non-coding RNA is filed under the name Hevea brasiliensis (rubber tree). The record is from RNAcentral. Lineage: Eukaryota; Viridiplantae; Streptophyta; Magnoliopsida; Malpighiales; Euphorbiaceae.
GGCCAGAGGAUCUACGAUGAGCAUUGUCUAUGCUAAUACCUCUGAAUUUCAGUAGACUCCAGAAAUCAGUCCAAACAUCAGCAUUCCCAUCUUCAAAAACACCAGAACCUGAGGUAGCUGUUAUCUUUACCCAUCCUUGGGAAGUCGAGUCGAGAAAUGCUGAUUCAAAAUUUGGAAAAUGAAUAUGCAUACACUGUAGAACCACAGCAACGCCUGUUGGCUUGAUUCCAUGCUGCAAAGCAGUGCAAACUUCAUCAGCAAGGCGCUGUGGACUUUGGAGCCGUUUUGCAAAAAUAUCAGCAACCCGAGAAAGCUUGCUUAAUCCUACAACCCUUUUUCCAGAUGGGACAUAACCUACAU